CCUACGGGAGGCAGCAGUGAGGAAUAUUGGUCAAUGGACGAGAGUCUGAACCAGCCAAGUAGCGUGAAGGAUGACUGCCCUAUGGGUUGUAAACUUCUUUUAUAUGGGAAUAAAAUGUUCCACGUGUGGGAUUUUGUAUGUACCAUAUGAAUAAGGAUCGGCUAACUCCGUGCCAGCAGCCGCGGUAAUACGGAGGAUCCGAGCGUUAUCCGGAUUUAUUGGGUUUAAAGGGAGCGUAGGUGGAUUGUUAAGUCAGUUGUGAAAGUUUGCGGCUCAACCGUAAAAUUGCAGUUGAAACUGGCAGUCUUGAGUACAGUAGAGGUGGGCGGAAUCCGUGGUGCAGCGGUGAAAUGCUUAGAUAUCACGAAGAACUCCGAUUGCGAAGGCAGUUCACUGGACUGCAACUGACACUGAGGCUCGAAAGUGUGGGUAUCAAACAGGAUUAGAUACCCCUGUAGUC
RNAcentral lists this ribosomal RNA (460 nucleotides) under uncultured bacterium. Its description in RNAcentral is "partial 16S ribosomal RNA". It matches the Rfam family "Bacterial small subunit ribosomal RNA", at positions 338 to 795 of the family's 1533-position model. The record is from RNAcentral.